RNAcentral lists this ribosomal RNA (389 nucleotides) under uncultured bacterium. RNAcentral's name for it is "bacterial SSU rRNA". It matches the Rfam family "Bacterial small subunit ribosomal RNA", at positions 28 to 417 of the family's 1533-position model. The record is from RNAcentral.
GACGAACGCUGGCGGCGUGCUUAACACAUGCAAGUCGAGCGGUAAGGCCCUUUCGGGGGUACACGAGCGGCGAACGGGUGAGUAACACGUGGGUGACCUGCCCUCAGCUCUGGGAUAAGCCUGGGAAACCGGGGUCUAAUACCGGAUAUGACUCCAUGACGCAUGUUGUGGGGUGGAAAGCCUUGUGCGGCUGAGGAUGGGCCCGCGGCCUAUCAGCUUGUUGGUGGGGUGAUGGCCUACCAAGGCGACGACGGGUAGCCGGCCUGAGAGGGCGACCGGCCACACUGGGACUGAGACACGGCCCAGACUCCUACGGGAGGCAGCAGUGGGGAAUCCUGCGCAAUGGGCGAAAGCCUGACGCAGCGACGCCGCGUGAGGGAUGACGGCCU